Molecule: long non-coding RNA, 2080 nt
Organism: Xiphophorus hellerii (green swordtail)
Lineage: Eukaryota; Metazoa; Chordata; Actinopteri; Cyprinodontiformes; Poeciliidae
Exons: 2
Source: RefSeq, a predicted model, not a curated record
GGUUGCUUAGAGAAAGUGUGGCGCUUCGUUUGACCUUUCACACCUGCAGCCCAAAAAGUCACCAUGACAACCAGCACUUUUGGAUGUAGAAAUCUGACUGUAUGACUUUAAGAUUUAAACUUAGACAUUCAAAGUAGACAACACAGCUACUUUUCAAAAUAAGAGAUCUUAACCAGUGAUUAGAGAAUUUUUUUUAUGCUUUCAAAAAAAAAAAAACUAACUUUUUUUUCAAAAUAAGAGACUCACCUAUACAUAUAAAUGAAAUAUCUGCAAUUGUAGGUCUCAAAGCACUCAUGGACAUAAACUGGUGACGUAAAAUGAAUAACACACAGAUGAUUUUCAGAGUAAAGGUCGAGCCACCAGGGGGCGCUAGCGGAGCCUCAGGAAACUUGAGGGAAGAUAAGAAAAAAUACAUUUAAACUAAUUCAUUUUCACAUAUUUUUCUAAUUUUUAAUUUAAAAAAAUAUCUAAUGUUUUCCAAUCACAAUUAUUAAAAAUAUAAACUAAUUUAUUGAAAUGUCAUUUACCAUGCUUGUCUUUCUGACUGGCUGCUAGUCAAAUUUCUCGAGCUGUUUUGCUCCCAAUGCCAGCAUAGGUGAAAUCGAACGCUAUGAGUCAGCAUUUAUGCUAAACACAUGUAAUAAUUAUUGAAAGUAGAGAAUAAAAGUGAUAAAAGUAUUCUAAAAGUUUAUGUUUCUUUACAUGUUUCGUAGAAAAGAGCGUCUCCAGCCAGAAGCUAACGCUGUUCGGGACCCGCGGGUCUAGAGAGCGUAAGGAAAGCUGGUUCAGAAUUCAUUGGGCCUCCACAGAACAACGCUGAUUUAUGAUUUUGGCUCUGAGCCUCUGCAGAAUCAUGUGUGUCCAUAAAAAACGCCAACGGGCAUCUGAGGCCCAUCAGGCUGCGGGGAUUGUGACGGCGGUAGAGAGCGGAGCGUCGGGGACGAACACGUUCCCACAAAGAGAGCCUCUCUGUGCGAGUGCACGGCUCUUUAUACGAUGGCAGAGGUCGCUGCUAAAAACGCUCGUCCUCCUCCAUACGGUCCAGUGCAAAAUAACAAACGGCACAACAACACAAAACAAGGACGACCGUUGUCCGUCGCAGCAUUCGGCUGCUCCAUCCAAACAGAGACGGGAAGGCGUGGGUAUCACAAGAAACCAGUUUAGAUUUAUUUUUUUUUGGCCACAGUCUGUGUAAAUAUUCCACCCUGUGAAUGAUGCUUUUGUGUUGGGCAACAUGGCGGCUCAUUAGAGUACAUUAGAGCAGGGUUUUCUGAUUUAAUUAGGAAGCUUGGUCCACUUAUUCUGUUACAAACCAUCUCUGACCUUUAGCUCUGAUGGCUUCUUUUUUUUUUUCCUUUUUAAGAAUUAAGGAAGGAAAAAAGUUGGCUGAAAGAGCUGAUGGGGGGAGAUUUUUGUUGGUGGUCAGAACAUGUGUGACCUGAUUGAGGGCAGGAUAGAGGAGGGAGAGCUGAGUGUUGAAAGUGUUUAUUUAUUUUAAAGAAACCUGCAGAGGGAGAAGAAGAAGAAGAAGAAGAGGGCAAAAUUGAGAAAACUUUCCUGCUGCAGAGUUUAGAAGAGCAAACAGGUGGAGAAGGCAUGCAGUGGAAAAACAGCAAGUGAAAAGAAAAGGCUAAGAGCUGCGCUUCUUCAGUCAGCAAAUGACUGGGGGCACCGUUACGAAUCACAUUUAAAAUUUACAUAGAUGAUUUUUUUGCACGAAUUAAAAAUCGUGCAAAAAAAUUUAAAACAGAAGUUGGUUUCCAAAUAUAAAGAUUUCUAAGCUGUGUUUUUUUUUUUUUGAAACAAUAAAACAUGACUUUGGUCACAAAACUCAUUAAUCUGUCAAACUUAAAGACAUUGUGGCUACAGCGACUCUGCAGAAGUCCGCAAAACAAAUUAAGUUUUUAUCGAAUAAUAAUGUAUGUGAAAUAUGCUAUAGCAGAUGCAGUAGACUGUAUUAAAAUGUAAAAUAAAAUAUCUGUCCCGUUUAAAUAAAGCUUUUGGGAUAUUUAUUUUCGCUGUGUUUAUGCAGUUGUGAUCGACACUAAAAUAAAAAUAAAAUAAAAUAAAAUGCCACCUA